Molecule: ribosomal RNA, 491 nt
Filed under: uncultured bacterium
Lineage: Bacteria
Description: partial 16S ribosomal RNA
Rfam family: Bacterial small subunit ribosomal RNA
Source: RNAcentral
GACGAACGCUGGCGGCGUGCUUAACACAUGCAAGUCGAACGAUGAAGCCGGAGCUUGCUCUGGUGAAUUAGUGGCGAACGGGUGAGUAACACGUGAGUAACCUGCCCUGGACUCUGGGAUAACCCCGAGAAAUCGGAGCUAAUACCGGAUAGGACCCUGUACCGCAUGGUGCGGGGUGGAAAGUUUUUCGGUCUGGGAUGGACUCGCGGCGUAUCAGCUUGUUGGGGAGGGAAUGGCUCGCCAAGGCGGCGACGGGUAGCCGGCCUGAGAGGGUGACCGGCCACACUGGGACUGAGACACGGCCCAGACUCCUACGGGAGGCAGCAGUGGGGAAUAUUGCACAAUGGGCGCAAGCCUGAUGCAGCAACGCCGCGUGCGGGAUGACGGCCUUCGGGUUGUAAACCGCUUUUAGUAAGGAAGAAGGGGAGCUUGCUCCUUGACGGUACUUGCAGAAAAAGGACCGGCUAACUACGUGCCAGCCGCCGCAGUAA